GGAGAGGUGGGUGAGUGGCUGAAACCAGCUGUUUGCUAAAUAGCCGUGCGAUUUAAAUCGCACCGAGGGUUCGAAUCCCUCCCUCUCCGCCA
This 92-nucleotide transfer RNA is filed under the name Pseudobdellovibrionaceae bacterium. RNAcentral's name for it is "Bdellovibrionaceae bacterium tRNA-Ser". It matches the Rfam family "tRNA". From Rfam's summary of the family: Transfer RNA (tRNA) molecules are approximately 80 nucleotides in length. Their secondary structure includes four short double-helical elements and three loops (D, anti-codon, and T loops). Further hydrogen bonds mediate the characteristic L-shaped molecular structure. tRNAs have two regions of fundamental functional importance: the anti-codon, which is responsible for specific mRNA codon recognition, and the 3' end, to which the tRNAs corresponding amino acid is attached (by aminoacyl-tRNA synthetases). tRNAs cope with the degeneracy of the genetic code in two manners: having more than one tRNA (with a specific anti-codon) for a particular amino acid; and 'wobble' base-pairing, i.e. permitting non-standard base-pairing at the 3rd anti-codon position. Lineage: Bacteria; Pseudomonadati; Bdellovibrionota; Bdellovibrionia; Bdellovibrionales; Pseudobdellovibrionaceae. The record is from RNAcentral.